CAUCCGAUACGCCACCGCAAACCCUACCUCCUCAUCCUCCCUCUCGUCUCAGAUCCACAGCCGCCGCACUAAUCCUCUCUUUGUGCCUCAGAUCCAGCCCACUGCACCUCGCUCCACCACCUCCUCGGCCUCUGGCGCCGCCUCCCCUCCUCCGCCGGCCGCAUGGGCGUGGAGGUCGAGGUGGAGGUGGAGCCCCAGCAGCACUGCAGCAGCAGCUCGCGUCGGGACGGAUAGACGAGGCGCGUGGCGGCCGGCGGCGGGCCUCUGGCCAUGUGCGGCCAUGGUGCGGGUGAGUUCGCCGGCGUCCCAAUCGUCGUCCCCAGCAAGGGAAGCAGCGCCUGAGGCCUGUUCUUCGGCCAUCUUCCCCGCAGCGAGGAUGGCACGGAGCUGCAGCGGCAGAGGUACGGCCGUCUUCCUCAACCUCAGAUCCGCGUGCAAACAUGGUGAUCCGGUUCCUCUACUGCAAGCCGAUGACGAGCAAGCAGGUCGCACACGGCCUGGGCAGUAGGUAGCCUGGUGGUCCUCCAUAUCAACAGCCAGAUGAGGCUGCUUCGCUCUAGCUCCAUCCAGGUUGUAAUUUCUAUUCCCCCUUUUUUCACCUAGCCACGACUCCCCAAACCCACCUUGCCUCCUCUCCUCUCAUCCUUGCACCUUUAAAUGAUUAUUGAACCCGCUGCCUUGUUGUCUCACACCCCACUGCUUGAUUCGUAUAACCUGAUUCAUAUGCCUGUGUUAUUAAUCCAUACUUCAGCUCUAAACCAUGAUGUGCAGAGAUAAACGAGACCAUGUUAUGUUCAAUUCAUUCGGUUACUUACCAGAUAAAGCAAUGCAGUCAAACACAGAUCUGUUGUUGUUUGCUUGAUUGUUCCACGAUGCAUGCCUGAUUAGCAUCUCUCAGAUUUGAUUAGCAUGUCUCUGAAUAUUAUCUCCUUGCCUUGGCAAAUGUAAAAAAAAACUAAUAAGUUCGAUACGCAGAACAGUUGCAGCUCGACUUCUAGCUUGGUCUGAUGGUGCUAAUAUCGACUUGGACUCACAAAGGAAAGGGAAUUGUGUUGUUCUCGAGACAUCCACGAGACAAGAUGAAAUGGUAGAAGGAACAAACAAUGAGAAGAGAUUGGAAAUUUGAAGGCAAAUGCUGGAAUAUUUGAUGUUUUUGUUUCUAGUGUUGCUUUUGAUGCAAGAUGAAUGUAACUUGCAUGUAAAUUUUGAGGUGCUUCUCAAUGUAAAUCAUAUGAUAUUGUAUUUGAUUUGAUGCUGUGGUAAAUGGUCUUACAAUUUUGGUAUAUAUAUUCUGGGCUGUAAUGACUAUUCUAAUAAAAGGAUUGAAAUUAGGCCCAAUUUGGUGGCUCACUCUGAA
Molecule: long non-coding RNA, 1357 nt
Organism: Panicum virgatum (switchgrass)
Lineage: Eukaryota; Viridiplantae; Streptophyta; Magnoliopsida; Poales; Poaceae
Exons: 2
Source: RefSeq, a predicted model, not a curated record